CCCUUAGAUGUUCUGGGCUGCACGCGUGUUACAAUCGGGAGUACAACAAGAUUGCAAAUCCUAGUGGAUGAGUGGUUCUUCGAAAUUUUCUGAAGACUGGGAUAGUUGAUUGAAAUUAUUCAACUCAAACGAGGAAUUCCUUGUAAUUGUAAUUCAUUAUAUUGUAAUGAAUACGUCCCUGCCCUUUGUACACACCGCCCGUCGCUCCUACCGAUUGAACGAUCCGGUGAAUUAUUUGGAGUAGUUCUGGAAGUUGCAGAACUUCCUAUGUCACGAAAUUUUGUAAACCUUAUCGUUUAGAGGAAGGAAAAGUCGUAACA
This 320-nucleotide ribosomal RNA is filed under the name uncultured eukaryote. RNAcentral's name for it is "partial 18S ribosomal RNA". It matches the Rfam family "Eukaryotic small subunit ribosomal RNA", at positions 1470 to 1796 of the family's 1831-position model. The record is from RNAcentral.